AGUAGCACAGGCAGGAGCAGGAGGCAUUCGUCUGGAUUCCUCUCUCGUCUGUGGGAACGCUCACAUUCAGCAGGACUGAGUAGCUUUCACAGAGUCUAUCUCAAAACUGUUUUAUUAUUUCUAUUUGAAAUAAAUCUGUCUGUGUGAGAGAGAGAGAGGGAGAGACAGUAUGGGAGCAGUGUGCAGGAGCUGUCCAUGCCCGGGUACUGACAGCCGGCCAAUCGCGUUCAUCUUCUGAUGUCUGCUGACUGAGAAUUGGCCAAUCGCGUCCGGGCAUGAUCUGUGCUGACUCCUGUGGUGGAGGGUGUCUGGUCGGGGGGGCCGGUGCACAUGGCCGACCGGGGCAACCACCGCAAUUAAUGGAGUUUCAGAGAAAAACAGUCGUAACGUUGACGAGGUGACUCAGUGUGACUCUGUGUUAUUUUUAGGAUUAGGGAAGCGAGGGAAAAAAAGUGAAAGUAUCUGAAGGCUCGAAGCAAGAGGAACAGAAAUAAAUAUACUUUAUUCACACAUUUAUGCAGCACACGUUGAUUUAUUAGUCGAUGUAUUCAUCCAAGGUUAAAACACUUUCAUUAAACCUUACGUCCACUCAGUCAAGUACAAAUGUUCAUUAAAUUCGUUUUUGGCCGAGGAGCGAUCACUGAGCUGAGUUGGACAUUAAGUUUGAAGUGUUUAUGAAUCAGUUUUAUGAAGUUCAGAUGGGGAGUUUCUUUUGUUAGUAUUUAAAAACAAUAUCUGUCCUCAAUACAAGUUUCUUUCCACUUUUCUCUCAACCUAUUUCUCUGCCAGUUUUCUGUCCCUGUGCAUCACAGGCGGUAUAAUUUUGUAACAAGGGAAAGAAAAUCUAUUGCAUCAUUACUUAUAUAUAUAUAUAUAGAGUGAGAGGUAAAGUAGGAUCUCUUGUUUUGUUUUAAUAUUUGUCAAGAUGUACUCACCAGUUUAGCUGAUUCUGAGGCAUCAUAACCAUAGCUGCAAAUUUUACAUGGCAUUAAAAAAAAACAUAUUCUUUAAUAUGUCUUUGAAAAUCGAAUUCGUUUUUGGGUCCAAUAUGUUGAUAAACUAUGUUAAAAGAAAAAAAUGCAUUGUCUCGUCAUGUAGGCAAUGCUGUGCCGAAGAGUAAUACAAAAAUGAAUGUGGUAUAUAAAGGCAAAAUCUAAAUUAGCUCAGGGCUCCUGCAGGUUUUACAUUCUACAUUCAAAAUAUGCUUUUUGUGCUACAGUGUCUUUUUUUAAAACGGAUACUUCUAUCCAACACAAUAUUGGAUCGAAGUAUCAGACAUAAUUCUCAGGACAGUUUAUCGGUUGAGCUUGUUGUGCGUUGUCAGUUAAUUCUAACUAAAUUCAAUCCCAUGUUAAACACCCUGUCUGUGAUGAAGUUGAGCAACUCAGAGUUUCACUCACAGGAAAAAUGUUCUAUAGGUUCAUUCACUUACACACACACACACACACUUACAUACUAACACUUACACACACACACACACACAGAGAGGGAUGCCGCUGCAGGUCUUUUACCUUUGACACCCUCUCUAAAAAAUGCCUGCAGUGACAGAACUGGAUUGGGCGAGGCCAGGGCUGCAACAUGCCUCACAAUCUGAACCUACAGUCUCCAUGUUGUAGGUGAACCGUUCCCCUUUCUUCCCUGAUCAUACCUCAUGAAAUCUGAUAAAACGAGAACUGAAUAAAUAUGAAAUUUGCUGUCGCUGGUCGAUCUCACAUUUUGAUAUAAAAACCUCCGACGCUGCGGAAGCGGAGCCGACACCAAAGAUGGAGGAUCGGCUUUGGAUGAAUGAAGAAACUCCUCAGAAACUCAAAGGGUUGAGUGGAGACUGGUACUCUGAUCUGAUGUGUUUUCAUGGAGACCGGCUGCAAACAGAUCAGCAUUGUGAUGCAAAGACAAAAGAAGAUGAAGAGGAGGAAGGAGUGGACAUGGAUCAAGAUGCUGCAACGACUUCAGUAUCAAACCCUUUGACCCAAGCAUGAGGCAGGGAAGGAGCAGGACAGUAUAUGGGCUUUACAUUUGAAUUGGAAACUAAUUGGUAAGAUUUAAAUAUGAAAAUAAAAAUAUUAAUUAAUAUUAAGUUUACUUAUCGUGUCCAGAAAUUGUAUCCACUGUACUUUCUGGAUAUAGUGUAGAAUUUAAAAAGGGGAACUUUUCUUUAUACAUGACAGGAAAUGUAGAAAUGUAAGUUUUAGUCAUGUUCCUUUCUCUUUCCUUAUGAUGGUGGAUGUGGAGCUUUCUAUGAAAUGCUGUAGGUUUACACUUGAGCUGUCAGAUCUUUCCAAAUAAACGAUGUUCUAUCAAACA
Pleuronectes platessa (European plaice) is the source of this 2304-nucleotide long non-coding RNA. RefSeq lists it as uncharacterized. Lineage: Eukaryota; Metazoa; Chordata; Actinopteri; Pleuronectiformes; Pleuronectidae. The transcript has 2 exons. The record is from RefSeq and is a predicted model, not a curated record.